Molecule: long non-coding RNA, 218 nt
Filed under: Elaeis guineensis (African oil palm)
Lineage: Eukaryota; Viridiplantae; Streptophyta; Magnoliopsida; Arecales; Arecaceae
Description: long non-coding RNA (EGUI_LNC047455)
Source: RNAcentral
ACCUGUCACAGUUUCAUGCUCUCAUGCAAAUAAAGCCUAAGGUUUUGGAUCUAGAAUUUUACAGAAAUUAAGUUUUAGGUCGUGUGUCAAAAUAAUAUAUCACAUAUAAUAUUAAUUGAUUUAAAAUAUAUAAAAAUAUAUGUAUAAUUUAAUUUAAAUCUAAAAAUAUAAAUAAUUAUAAUUUUUUAUUCAUAAUUUAUCUUUAUGAGAAAUAUCAC